GGUUGGUGCAAAAGUAACUGCGGUUUUUGCUACUACUGAAAGUCAUGGCAAAAACCACAGUUACUUUUGUACCA
RNAcentral lists this microRNA precursor (74 nucleotides) under Colobus angolensis palliatus. RNAcentral's name for it is "miRNA (ENSCANG00000008025.1)". The record is from RNAcentral. Lineage: Eukaryota; Metazoa; Chordata; Mammalia; Primates; Cercopithecidae.